Molecule: non-coding RNA, 98 nt
Filed under: uncultured Photobacterium sp.
Lineage: Bacteria; Pseudomonadati; Pseudomonadota; Gammaproteobacteria; Vibrionales; Vibrionaceae
Source: RNAcentral
UGACAACGGGUUUUACUUAAUGUUAAGCAAAUUAAGCCGCGGCCAUUUGUCGCCAUAAAGUUAAUCGCUUCAGGGGUGAUAUGCUGUGAUGCAAUAAU